AUCGCCUGCAUCGACACCGUUGCUGACUGCUUCCAGGUAUCUGUUCUUAUCAGUGUAAUAUCUGAUAUGUCGCUACGGCGACGAUUCAAUAUUCACCAGUUUUUGGCACCAGCUGCCAGGCCUCUGAGCUUGCUUAUGUCUGCGCGGCACCGUGUCGCUGGUAUCGCACUACUUCCAGCCGACGCGACCCAUC
This 193-nucleotide small nuclear RNA is filed under the name Pseudocercospora fijiensis CIRAD86. Its description in RNAcentral is "U2 spliceosomal RNA". The stretch from base 26 to 193 matches the Rfam family "U2 spliceosomal RNA". From Rfam's summary of the family: U2 is a small nuclear RNA (snRNA) component of the spliceosome (involved in pre-mRNA splicing). Complementary binding between U2 snRNA (in an area lying towards the 5' end but 3' to hairpin I) and the branchpoint sequence (BPS) of the intron results the bulging out of an unpaired adenosine, on the BPS, which initiates a nucleophilic attack at the intronic 5' splice site, thus starting the first of two transesterification reactions that mediate splicing. The record is from Rfam by way of RNAcentral. Lineage: Eukaryota; Fungi; Ascomycota; Dothideomycetes; Mycosphaerellales; Mycosphaerellaceae.